GAUGAACGCUGGCGGCGUGCCUAAUACAUGCAAGUCGAGCGAACAGACGAGGAGCUUGCUCCUCUGACGUUAGCGGCGGACGGGUGAGUAACACGUGGAUAACCUACCUAUAAGACUGGGAUAACUUCGGGAAACCGGAGCUAAUACCGGAUAAUAUAUUGAACCGCAUGGUUCAAUAGUGAAAGACGGUUUUGCUGUCACUUAUAGAUGGAUCCGCGCCGCAUUAGCUAGUUGGUAAGGUAACGGCUUACCAAGGCGACGAUGCGUAGCCGACCUGAGAGGGUGAUCGGCCACACUGGAACUGAGACACGGUCCAGACUCCUACGGGAGGCAGCAGUAGGGAAUCUUCCGCAGUGGGCGAAAGCCUGACGGAGCAACGCCGCGUGAGUGAUGAAGGUCUUCGGAUCGUAAAACUCUGUUAUUAGGGAAGAACAAAUGUGUAAGUAACUAUGCACGUCUUGACGGUACCUAAUCAGAAAGCCACGGCUAACUACGUG
Molecule: ribosomal RNA, 497 nt
Filed under: uncultured bacterium
Lineage: Bacteria
Description: partial 16S ribosomal RNA
Rfam family: Bacterial small subunit ribosomal RNA
Source: RNAcentral